GCCGGGGUGGCGAAAUUGGCAGACGCGCCAGACUUAGGAUCUGGUGGAGAAAUCCGUAGGGGUUCGAGUCCCCUCCCUGGCA
Molecule: transfer RNA, 82 nt
Filed under: Verrucomicrobiota bacterium
Lineage: Bacteria; Pseudomonadati; Verrucomicrobiota
Also listed under: 2 other names
Description: Verrucomicrobia bacterium tRNA-Leu
Rfam family: tRNA
About the family: Transfer RNA (tRNA) molecules are approximately 80 nucleotides in length.
Source: RNAcentral